RNAcentral lists this ribosomal RNA (344 nucleotides) under Olea europaea subsp. europaea. RNAcentral describes it as "LSU_rRNA_archaea". It matches the Rfam family "Eukaryotic large subunit ribosomal RNA", at positions 2044 to 2388 of the family's 3401-position model. Lineage: Eukaryota; Viridiplantae; Streptophyta; Magnoliopsida; Lamiales; Oleaceae. The record is from RNAcentral.
UCGACCAGGAGAUGAACUGGGAUCGGCUACUUUGAGGACCUUUCUCGAGCAUCAACCAGUUGACUCAGAACUAGUAUGGACAUGGGAAAUUCAAUUGUUUAAUUAAAGCAAAGCAUUGCAAUGGUCCCCGCGGAUGCUCACGCAAUGUGAUUUUUGCCCAGUGCCCUGAAUGUUAAAGUGAAGAAAUUCAAUCAAGCGCGGGUAAACGACUGGAGUAACUAUGACUCUCUUUAGGUAGCCAAAUGCCUCGUCAUCUAAUUAGUGAUGCACAUGACUGGAUUAACAAGAUUCCCACUAUCCCUAUCUACUAUCUAGUGAAACCACAUCCAAGGGAACGAGCUUGG